This 1630-nucleotide long non-coding RNA is filed under the name Gossypium barbadense (sea-island cotton). Its description in RNAcentral is "long non-coding RNA (GBAR_LNC017142)". Lineage: Eukaryota; Viridiplantae; Streptophyta; Magnoliopsida; Malvales; Malvaceae. The record is from RNAcentral.
UUUUCAGCAUUAAAACUCCUCAAUAUUAGUUUCUUUUCCAUCAAUAAAGCGUCCCUACAUCAAAAUGUACUUAGGAAUUUUUACAACCCUUUACAAAAUGAAUCUAGGAAUUUUUAUAGGAAUCUAUGGCUCCUAAAUCUACCUCCUAAGUUAAAAAUUAUAGUCUGGAAAAUAUCAUGGAACUAUAUUCCAACUCGGGUCAACUUGAACUACAGAAGGCUUUCAAACAACGUGACAUGCGUUGGGUGUGGCAGAGCAGCAGAAUCCACAAAUCAUAUAUUUCGUGAAUGUCCUAUGGCAAGAACAGUAUAGGAAGAGUUAUUAUUCUCAGAAGUAUUACAAGCUCCUUAUAUGGAUUUUGUACAGUGGCUCACCUGGGUUUUUGAAAAGAACUCCCCCAAUCAACGACGGAUCUUUUACUGUGCUCUUUGGGCAAUAUGGGGAGAAAGGAAUAAGAGAGUGCAUGAAAAGACUAAUAGAUCUAGGAAAGAGAUAGCAUUUUUUAUAAAGAGAUAUAUUAGUGAAUUGAAUUAGAUUGAAGCAAAAGUACCACAGGUUAAAAUAGGAGGCAGAGAGUGGAAACACCCACCGGAUCAGUUUGUAAAAGUCAACUUUGAUGCAGCCUAUGAUGGGAACCUACGGCAAUCGGCAGCAGGAAUUGUGGCUAGGGAUAGCGAAGGAAAUACUCUUUUAUCAUGUACAGAGAUUCAUCAUCAUCAACUCAAAUAGGCAGGGACAUGCAAUGGCCAAACAUUAUUAUUGAAGGGGAUGCAUUAUCAAUUAUAAAGAAGUGCAAACUAAAAAGUUAUGAUAAAUCUAUGAUCGGAGCAUAUAUCCAAGAUAUACAUCAGCUACUGGAAAAAUCUGGAAAAUGCUAUUUUGAGUACAUUCCCAGAGAAGCGAACAGCCUAGAACAUAAACUAGCGAUGGAGACAUUAAAGAAAAAAGAAAGUCUUACCUGAUUGGAAGAGUCCCGGGGUAUGCUGAGAACCUGGAAGAAACUGAAAAAAGGGCAGGAACAAAUGUGGAGAAGAAAUGAAAGGUUACAGAAAAAAGAAGUUGUAUAGUGGAAAUUCAAAGGCGUGGUGGACAAGGCUUCAUUGAAAUCUGGAAACGUCUCAUUGAUGAAAUGAAAGAUGAUUUUGAAAAAACUGAAAUGGAUUUUUCUGAUUAGGCAAGAUAUGAUGGCAUUUAGGGCCCGUUCUUCUGCCCGUUUUAGAAGCACUUUUAGGGAAAAAAGUCCUUCUUCCUGAAAAGGAAGAAAGAACAAACUCCUUUUCUUCAAAAAAAUUCACUGUUAGAAAAUCACUUCUCUCCAGAUGCGAAGCUAAAAAUUUCUCCUUUUCUUCAGCUUGAAGUGCUUUUGGCUGGAAAUUGACCAAAUUAACCUGUCUCUUCUCCCACAAACGUUCUUUCCCCUCUUCUGCUGGUUCUUUGGAACUGUCUUCUCCCACAAACUUGCUUUUGGCUGAAAAGAAUAGAAAUUUGAUUUCUCAUUCAGGUUAUUAGGUUCUAGAGGAUUCUGAUUUUUAUGUUUUUUAGGGCUGUUUUCUAGUUUCUUUUAAAGAUUUGGACUAUAGGUUUUUGCUUUGUUCUUCGGGCCAAAACUUGCAUCUGGUUUUAGCCUGAG